RNAcentral lists this ribosomal RNA (253 nucleotides) under uncultured bacterium. RNAcentral's name for it is "partial 16S ribosomal RNA". It matches the Rfam family "Bacterial small subunit ribosomal RNA", at positions 524 to 776 of the family's 1533-position model. The record is from RNAcentral.
GACAGAGGGUGCAAACGUUGUUCGGAAUUAUUGGGCGUAAAGGGCGCGUAGGCGGCUAGAUGUGUCAAAGGUGAAAUCCCUCGGCUCAACUGAGGAACUGCCUUUGAAACUGUCUGGCUUGAGGCCGGGAGAGGGUAGCGGAAUUCCCAGUGUAGCGGUGAAAUGCGUAGAUAUUGGGAGGAACACCAGUGGCGAAGGCGGCUACCUGGACCGGUUCUGACGCUGAGGCGCGAAAGCGUGGGUAGCAAACAGG